GUAAUCAUGUGACUCUCUGCAGUGAGAUGGACGACGACGUGGAGGCCAUCUUUGAAGAUGAGGAGGAGAUCUCAGAGGGCGACGUGGACGACUCCUUCAGGUCCAUGUUCGCUCAGCUGUCAGGAGACGACAUGGAGAUCUCAGUACGAGAACUCAGAACCAUCCUGAACCGGGUCGUGUCCAAACGUAAGUUUUAUAAUAAUUAAAGGAGGAACAUGAUCACAGAUCAGUGCUGACA
Larimichthys crocea (large yellow croaker) is the source of this 238-nucleotide long non-coding RNA. RefSeq lists it as uncharacterized. Lineage: Eukaryota; Metazoa; Chordata; Actinopteri; Sciaenidae. The record is from RefSeq and is a predicted model, not a curated record. The transcript is spliced from 3 exons.